CUAUUUUCUCUCCUACCUCUGGUUGGUGAAUUAGAAGAGGGGUGGAAGAGUUUAAGAACCCUAAAUAAAGUAAGUUUUGAAAAAAAAAGUCUAAGCAUAUAGUCUCCUCCUUCUGAUACUAAUUCUUAAUUGAUAAAAUUACAAGUAUACAUUUUUAGGCUUAUAUUGUUCCUAGAGUUUACAAUUUUUAUUCAACUCAAUACUAGUUCCCCUUAUGUUUGACAAAUUCAAGACAUAGGAUACAAUGCAGUCAUAGAAGGAAUUGUCCGCUCAAGCACUAAAAAAAUCCAAAUUACAUAAUAGAGAAGGUAUGUAAAACACUGUAAAAUAUUAUAUGAAAUAAAACGAAACAGACGAAAGACAAUAUGACAGUGUGCAAAGUAGGAGAGCUAGACGAGGUGCUAGGAAACCCAUGUUCUGUUCUUGAUCAGCAGAAAGGUGUGGAGGGUAGGCAAGGGCUUGUGGAAGGAUGAAUUCUUAUCUGAUUCAUGCAGAUUAGCUUAUUGCUCUGUAGUUUCACCUGCUAAGGAUGACAAUAUCCGGCUCCUAUAGAUGCGGUAUAGAUUAAAUGAAUUAAAGCACGUGAAGUGCUCCCUUUAUGCUAAAUAGUGUUUGCUCUAGUGUUUUAUUUCAUCUAAUCCCCACCUAAAAUGUGUCUAAUUUUCACUAUACUUCAGUAUAAAAUAAAGAAAAUAAUUGUUACAUUGACCUGACUAAUAAGUUUGUGGUGAGGAUUUACAAGAAGUGGAAUAUGUGUGUGAAAGGGCUUUGAUUACUGAGUGUAUAAUACCCAACUGCCCGGUUUUAUUUAAAACUUUUUAUAAUGAACUCUCUAAGUCAGCAGGUGGCAGAUAAUUCCUCAGUGCAGCCUUUAAACAUCUUGUACCUCGAAGCACCAUUUGGAACCCAUCCUAACGGCAUAAAACUGUCAGCUAUAACUUGCUGGAAUCCUAGUCAGUGAAAAUGUGAGAGAAAGAGUGAAACAGAAGAGGCAGCUCAUUGCUUUGAAUAAUCAUUUGACUGAGCUACCUUAGCCAAUGAACCUGUAGGCCUUGAUGACCACAUUUUUUACAUGAUAUUAGAGUCAAUACAGGGAAUUCAAUCUCUUUUAAAUGUUAUCCACUUGGGAUGUCUGUUGACAUUUUGCAAAGCAAACCAUAAAUGUACUUAAACCAAUGAGUAAAACAUUAAAAUUAAAAAGCAGCCUCUCUUUUCUCCAAGUACCGUUUUCAAAUGGCACACAGAACUUUACACAAGCUCUGGGCACCUCUACUUGUAAUUCCUAGGGGCAGUGGCAUUCAUCUGAGCAUUAAGCAGCCUGGUCAGGUAGUGCUGAGUCAAGUCCAUUCUGGAACUCUCCUCACUUGUGAAUGCAGCACUGCCUCUGAGAUGUCAUUAUUCCAGUGUGAUGAUAAAGCACUCAUUUAUACCGCUUUACAGGAGAGAGAACCAGAGUUUAAAAAGCCAGAGCCACCAAUUUAUAUCAGGCUACUGUAACACCCUUGAACAGAAUCUCAUUUUAAAAGACUGCCUAGAAGAGAAAAUGUUUAAUCCUCGAUCACAAAUUGGUAGGUCCCGAAAAAAUGUUUCUGCUCUUUUUUUUAAUCUUUUUAUUUUUCAUUAGGGAUCAAGUGUUGGCACUAAGACUUACUAUUUCACUUAUAGCAAAGCAGAUCUCUUAAUGGGAGAGCUACCACGAAGUCUCUGGGUGGGUUAUGUAGCUUGACUGUGCUUAUAAAGACAAUUGCGGCAUUAAGGACAAUAGGAGGUCAUUCUAAAUUACUGAUUUAAAUGAAGGGCUGUACAUGAACCAGUGUGGGGAUAUCAGCCCUUUCUCAAAACCAUCACUAGCUUGGUUAGGAAACACUGGUUUGGAUAUGUUAUAGUUAACUUAGUCUGGAAGUUGGUAGAUGCUGUGACCAAUACGUUUGACAUGAUUAAUGAGUAGAAUUUGUGACAGCAAAAAAAGUGCUUUUUUAAUGGAGGAAUCUUAAAACCACAAAUAGCAGUGUGUGUAUUCUUCUGAUCUUUGAUAAGGGAUGGCAUUAUGCUACAGGUGGACUUUUUAUUCAAGGUAGCCUAGAACCUUAAAGCCAAAAUGUGACAUUUACCUCUCUUGAUUUAUAGACUUUGUAGCCUUUACUUAAGAAUUUAUGCAAAGUCAACUCCCAGUGUUUCUUUUCUAAGUAUGUCUAUACUUGUACAGUUAGAAGACACAGAUGCUAUUAAAAACUAAGACAGGGAAUAACAUUCCAAGGCCCAUGGACAACAAAUGGAUACAAUUCUAAAUAAAAUUGAGGCCUGUUUGACUGAUAAACUGUAUUACACCAGAGCAGGACCCGUUUGGUGUUAACCACAUUUCACAGCCCAGUUUGUCCUCCAGCCCAUGCUAAGCACACCCAGAAGGAGAGCAGUUCGUCAGCAUUUCUUCUCCAUUUCCAUGCCAUCUGAUACACUGUUGCCAAGACAAACGAGCUUAUAAGCAGCCAAGAAAAGAUGAGAGCUCUUUAAAAUAAAUCCACAUGAAGCUCUUAGCAGGCAGGAAUCCAUCCCUAUCUGACUCUGGAACUCUGAGGCAGACAUUUAAAUAACCAUGGGCAAAUUCAGCAUCCAAUCUAUACAGCCCAGCUGUCAGUUUCUCGGGAAACCAUGGAGAAAUAAGCAAAAGGAAGCCAAACUCUAAAAGUAGACCAGGUAUAGAAGUCAUGACUAUGAAUCCAUCCAAGAGUUCAGAAUGCUGUUGUUGGUGACGCAUUUGUCCUAUACGGAACCUAUGGAAACCAUCAGUAGAGUUCAGUUUGAACCUGUGAGGACAAAGGUCGAUGUUUCAAUAAACGUUUUUGAAACAAGGCAUAGUCCAAGACAGGGGAACCAUGCUGUUCUCCAACCAGUAUUUCUGGUUAAUCUUUCUGCUCACCUCUGUACAAAAGCUUGGGAACCUGUGUGGUUUCUUCUACCUGUAGGUUUCAGCAUUGCACUGUCUUUAAUACUAGCUUAUCAACUGAGCAUCUGGGCAGAAAUAUCUGAAUAUAUUUAUCACAUAUAACAUUGUAAUUAUUUACAGGGAAUCUACAACAUAUGGGGAGGGAGAAACCAGUCCCUAAAAUUAAGAAAGUACACAAACCUGGAAGGUUGAAUUUAAUUGACAGAACCCACAUAAAGGUUCUGAUGGACAAAGUUGAUAUAAGACUUCUGGUGAGCUAGCUCUCUGGUAUAUGCACCCCCAAUGCUCACGCUCGUGGGUUCAUAUGAACGCAACAACAAUAAUGACAAUAAUAAUAAAAUUUAAAAAGAAACUGCAUUUAGAACUCAAGAAGCUUUUAACUAAGCAGUGGAAAAAACUACUGAAACAGAAGGAGAAGCUGCUGCUACAACCAACCACACAGAUGAAGACGAAACUCAUUAUGUUACAUGAAAGGCACCCAAUGAGAAAAGCAACACUAUGCAGGAUUCCAUUUCUAUGACUUUCGGGAAAGGGCGAAGUAUAGGGAUGGAGUCAAGGUCAAAGAUCUGGGGUCUCAAGGGUAGGAGAAGAAGCUGCCAUAAAGACAGCAAAGGAAUUGGGGAGCUGUUGUUCCUGCUUCUGCAACUAUUCCCUGCCUGUGAAUUCAUAAAGCUUACAGAAUCGAGCACCCCAAAAGAGUGGCUCUCACUGUAGAUUGAAAUCUUAAUUCAAGACUGUAAAAGCUUCUUGUGGGCUACACUUUUCUUUCCCCCAUUCAGGAAAAUUGUCUUCCGAGUAUUCCGAUUCCUUCUGCUUAUCAUAUUCAAGAUUUUAAAUUUAGCAUCAGCGCCAGCUUUUCCAUAAAGCCUUCCCGUGAGUAUGUUUCCUCAUAUUCUAGUUCUUUAAAAGGAAUAAGCAUUACUCAUAGAGCUCGAAUCGUUGUGACUAAAACAUGUCCUCUCCUUCCUCCAGUUUCCACACCCCAUUCCCCGACACGAUGUUAUGCUUCCUAUCAUGCAUUUUCUGUGUUUUUGUGGUCUGUUACAGUAUUAUGUUAAUAGACAGUAACAUUGUAUUAAUAUCACAUUCUCUUGCGAUUUGCUUUUUCAUCCAACACUGCCUUCAAGAUCGUCCAUUCACUUUUAAUUGCUGCCGCCCUGUAUUCCACUAUAGGAAUGUACCAAGUCGCUGUUUCACUGCAGUCUGAGGGCUCUCGGGGCUGUUUCCGGUUGGGCUGUGAAGCACCACCUACAGAUUUUCCUCCUGCUAGCGCCGGAGCAGCUCAAGGGCAGAGACCGCUCUGAGCUGCUGGGGUUUUUUGUUGUUGUUGUUUUUGGUUCUUUGGUUUUUUUUCUCCCUAAUUUCCGUGGCACCUGAGAACUGGGAGAUACAUGAAGCGCUUCGCUUGGAAGAUGCUCAGCACACAAUACGCCCUGGAUUUUAAAAAGCGGGUGGGGGGUCGGUAAAUUAUCUUAACAAAGUGCAGUUUUAAAUUUGCUAUGCCCUCCCUUCUCCACCGAGUAAGAUUUGAGGGGAAACUGCUGCAAUUCCCUUUAGAAAGUCCUCAAGGUAUUUCGGGGCUGAAGUAGAUCUAUAAAACAAGGUCAUUCCACAGUUCGGCUUUCUCCUUAGUGGAUCUCCAAGCACUCUACAAGCGCUGUUUUCACGGUGACAUUUCCCCCUACUUUUAAGUCAGUUCAGCGAGGUAUUCAAAACUUGAAAACGUUUAGGGCGUCUCGAAAGGGCUUUGGACGCAGUCUGCAUAUGCAUAAUAGCAUAUUGGCCUUCUCACAGAAUUAUUAUUUUUUCCUUUCCGUGGGCCCCAGGUCAUGUUUCCGGAGUUAUCGUUUAACUGCCCACCUCAAGCAGGUCCCGCGCCAACGCUCUCCGGGCUAGCCGCACUCCCCACCCUUCCUGCACCUAAGAAGAUAUAACGCCCUUUGAUCUCCUCUCCAGUGCUUUGUGGCUUAAGGAACCUUGAUGUGCAAGAUAAAUACAGACUGUAACUGUGGGCACGCGGAGCCAUCUAUCAUCACCCUGCCUCUGGACGUGACCGAGAUGGUGAAACAAUGAGGGGGCAGUUUGGCCAGAGAGUAAGAUGAGUUUUCAUUGCCCUUUGUUCAAUGGUUGACGCAUACCAACAUACUUCGGGAUCCCUCAGCCUGCAAGGGCCAGCCCCCGACUAAGGUCCAGCUUAUUUACCUGAAGUAACACAUUCUGGAAUCCAUGGCAGCAGAUUACAGUGACCUCUUUGCCUCAAUUCAGUCCUCAGUCUAUGAAAUUAAUUUCCAUUUUGAUAACCAAAAGGCUUUCUUUGGAAAUAUCAGUGACUGCACAAGCCACAGGACAGAUCGAGGGCAGAAACAGCUGAAUCUUCUUGCACAGUGCCAGCCUUAUCCCUGAGAUGUGAUGCUGGAGGUUGAAGUGAACAGAUUUGGCUGAGUUGGGUGCCUGGUUACCAGGGCUUCUUUCAUGGCUGAAAAUGUACAUGCUGUUGUCACCAAUGACCCCUUCCUUGACCUCAACCACAUUAUCUGCAUGUUCCUUAUGACCCUUCCAUAUAAAGCUCAACUGCACAGUCAGGGCUGAGAAGAGGAAGCUUGUCAUUAAUGGGAGGGCUGUCACCUUCUUCCAGGAGAGUGAUCCUGCCAACAGCAAAUAGGAUGAUGUUGGUGUUGGGUGUGUUGUGGAGUCUGUUGGUGUCUUCAUCACUAUGGAAAAAGCUGGGACCCACCCACUUGAGUGGUGGGGCCAAAGGGUCAUCAUCUCUGCCCUUUCUGCUGCCGCCCAUGUUUCUGAUGGGUGCAAACCAUGACAAUUCACUCAAGAUUGUAAGAAACACUUUCUAUAUUAACGAUGGAUUAGCCACCUGGCCAAGUCAUCCAUGACAACUUUGGCCUUAUGAAAGAACUCAUGAUCAUGGUCCAUGCCAUCACUACCACCAGAAGACUGUGGAUGCUGUGGUAGGAUGGCUGUGGGGCAGCCCAGAACCUCCUCCCUGCAUUCACUUAGGCUGCCAAGGCUAUGGGCAAGGUCAUCUGAGAGUUGAAUGGGAAGUUCAAUGGCAUGGACUUCCAUGUUCCUACCCCCAAUAUGUCUGUCAUGAAUCUGACAUGCUGCUUAAAGAAAGCUGCCAAGUAUGAUGACAUUAAGGUGGUGGUGAGUUGGGUAUCUGAGGAACCACCAAAGAGCAUCCUGGGCUACACUGAGGACCAGUUUGUUUCCUGUGACUUUAACAAUGAUUUUCAUUCUUCCACCUUUGAUGCUGGGUCUGGCAUUGUUCUUAAUGACAACCUUGUAAAAUUCAUUUCCUGAUAUGAAGAUAAAUAUGGCUACAGCAACAGAGUGGUGAACCUCAUAGCCUACAUGGACUCCAAGGAGUAUGAAGCCCUGGAUCACCCACCCAAGCAAAGAGAUGAAAGCAAGAGAGAGGCCCUCAGCUGCUGAGGAAUCCCUGGCCCAACUCAGCUCCCUAUACUGAGUAUCUCCCUCACAAUAAUGGGAGGGGCCUAUGGAGCCCUAUUCUCUUGAAUACCAUCAAUAAAGUUCACUGUACCUCCAA
This 6506-nucleotide small RNA is filed under the name Rattus norvegicus (Norway rat). RNAcentral's name for it is "uncharacterized LOC102554306". Lineage: Eukaryota; Metazoa; Chordata; Mammalia; Rodentia; Muridae. The record is from RNAcentral.